UUAUUUAGAUGUUGUUAUUUGUUCAAAUUUACAUGGUUUCCAAAAACACUGUGAAUGGAAACCUAGACAACCAUCACAUCUAAGAUAUAAUGUGUACCAAUAACCGGUUUUGUUUUGUUGUUUUUGUGUAAACAGAUAUUGCAGAUCUGGAGAAAAAUGCAGCACUGCUAAUCUUACCAUGUUUAUUCACAGAAAACAUCAAGUUUCUCUUCUGUCUGGACAAUCAUAUUCACGCAGCGCUGUCUCGCGAGUGCAGUGCACGUUUUUGAAUUCCAACGGUCGAGAAGAGAUUGAUCCCCGUCUGCUGAUUUAAAUUGAUGGUCUGACAGAAAUAUUGUUGUGCGGAUUUACACUAAAACACGAAAGAGCCUGAACCGCGAAAGUGUCACAAGUUGCCUUACAUCCAUAAGUUUUGUUGUGCUUGUUGCAAACUGUUAAAUUAAGUGUUUUCCGAUCCUAAGCUUAGAAAAAAAGAUGCAAGACUUCAAACUUUCCAGUACUCCUGUGUACUGAUAAUCCGGGUUCCACCCAGUCCCAGGAGAUUAUAUUAAACCUGGAAAAUAUUGGAGAAGAUCAAUUAAGUUUUCAGGAGCACAUUACUGUGAUAAAUGCUGAGCUAUGUAAAAGUCAACCUGCUACACCAACAUAUCAAAAAUCGAAUGAGGUGCGCUCUUGUUAAAAGAGUUGAUUUAAUGACAAAAUCAACAUGAGAGGUCAUGGACAUGUUCCCAUUUCUUCGGGUUCCACAAAUUCUGCUGCAUGAAGUGAAGAUGCGGUUUGGGAAGGACCUUCAUCUCAAUCUACAGACUGCUCUUCAAUUAAAUUAAAUUAAAGUAAAUUUAUUCAUUUAGCAGACGCGACUUACAGUGCAUUCAGGCUAU
Long non-coding RNA from Carassius auratus (goldfish), 881 nucleotides. RefSeq lists it as uncharacterized. NCBI's taxonomy places the organism in Eukaryota, Metazoa, Chordata, Actinopteri, Cypriniformes, Cyprinidae. The transcript has 5 exons. The record is from RefSeq and is a predicted model, not a curated record.